ACUUUUCAGUAUCAAGUAUUUUUUAGUUUUAUUUCAUGCUUAAAGUGAACAUUAUAGAAUAGUGUUUUGUGUUUUAAAAAGAGUACAUACAGGUAGUUCUAUUUUUGUUGAAGUAUUUUCCCAUGAUGACUAACAAAGGAGGCUAUUUAAUUCAGCAUAACAUAUGCUACAGAGAUAGAAUUUUAUUGAGUCCCCACAUCAGUUUUAACUCGUUGCAUGUGACUUAAAGAUCAUGCUAAAUUUUAAGAUUAUACACAA
RNAcentral lists this long non-coding RNA (258 nucleotides) under Bos taurus (domestic cattle). RNAcentral's name for it is "long non-coding RNA NONBTAT022098". The record is from RNAcentral. Lineage: Eukaryota; Metazoa; Chordata; Mammalia; Artiodactyla; Bovidae.